RNAcentral lists this ribosomal RNA (1017 nucleotides) under uncultured organism. RNAcentral's name for it is "bacterial SSU rRNA". It matches the Rfam family "Bacterial small subunit ribosomal RNA", at positions 356 to 1376 of the family's 1533-position model. The record is from RNAcentral.
GAGGAAUAUUGGUCAAUGGACGAGAGUCUGAACCAGCCAAGUAGCGUGAAGGAUGACUGCCCUAUGGGUUGUAAACUUCUUUUAUACGGGAAUAAAGUGAGGUACGUGUGCCUUUUUGUAUGUACCGUAUGAAUAAGGAUCGGCUAACUCCGCGCCAGCAGCCGCGGUAAUACGGAGGAUCCGAGCGUUAUCCGGAUUUAUUGGGUUUAAAGGGAGCGUAGGCGGACGCUUAAGUCAGUUGUGAAAGUUUGCGGCUCAACCGUAAAAUUGCAGUUGAUACUGGGUGUCUUGAGUACAGUAGAGGCAGGCGGAAUUCGUGGUGUAGCGGUGAAAUGCUUAGAUAUCACGAAGAACUCCGAUUGCGAAGGCAGCCUGCUGGACUGUAACUGACGCUGAUGCUCGAAAGUGUGGGUAUCAAACAGGAUUAGAUACCCUGGUAGUCCACACAGUAAACGAUGAAUACUCGCUGUUUGCGAUAUACAGUAAGCGGCCAAGCGAAAGCGUUAAGUAUUCCACCUGGGGAGUACGCCGGCAACGGUGAAACUCAAAGGAAUUGACGGGGGCCCGCACAAGCGGAGGAACAUGUGGUUUAAUUCGAUGAUACGCGAGGAACCUUACCCGGGCUUGAAUUGCAACUGAAUGAUGUGGAGACAUGUCAGCCGCAAGGCAGUUGUGAAGGUGCUGCAUGGUUGUCGUCAGCUCGUGCCGUGAGGUGUCGGCUUAAGUGCCAUAACGAGCGCAACCCUUAUCGAUAGUUACUAGCAGGUCAUGCUGAGGACUCUAUUGAGACUGCCGUCGUAAGAUGUGAGGAAGGUGGGGAUGACGUCAAAUCAGCACGGCCCUUACGUCCGGGGCUACACACGUGUUACAAUGGGGGGUACAGAAGGCAGCUACACGGCGACGUGGUGCUAAUCCCGAAAGCCUCUCUCAGUUCGGAUUGGAGUCUGCAACCCGACUCCAUGAAGCUGGAUUCGCUAGUAAUCGCGCAUCAGCCACGGCGCGGUGAAUACGUUCCCG